CGGGGCCCCCGCUGAUGGC
RNAcentral lists this microRNA (19 nucleotides) under Gallus gallus (chicken). Its description in RNAcentral is "microRNA Ros-gga". Lineage: Eukaryota; Metazoa; Chordata; Aves; Galliformes; Phasianidae. The record is from RNAcentral.